RNA transcript from Nicotiana tabacum (common tobacco), 2548 nucleotides. RefSeq lists it as uncharacterized. Lineage: Eukaryota; Viridiplantae; Streptophyta; Magnoliopsida; Solanales; Solanaceae. The record is from RefSeq and is a predicted model, not a curated record.
AUCUUGGAAAAACAACUGUCUUUUUCAUUGUUAGGGAUUACUUUGUGAAUCUUGCUCAAGAUUGUAAAUUUACAAUUAUUGGGAAGCUUUAUAGGGGAAAACCAACGAUGGAAGACUUAAGGAAAGAGUUUGUUAGUCAAUUUCAGCUUAGGGGAACUGUUAAAAUUUCACAUUUUGAUCAUCAACAUGUGUAUCUGGAUUUUGAUAAUGAAGUUGAUUUUACUCAUGUGGGAACUCGAUCAUUUGUGAAUAUUGGAAUAGCCCCAAUGAAAAUCAUGAAAUAGACCCUAGAUUUUAGGCCAGAAGUGGAAACAUCUAUUGUUCUAGUUUGAAUCUUAACACAUCAGCUGCCAUGGCAUCUAUUCAGGUGGGACGUUGUUUCUAGAAUGGUAAUUGCAAUUUGGAAUGUUGUAGCUCCUGAUAUGGCCACAUAUUCCUAGUCUAGAGGAAAUGUGACUAAGAUCAAAUUUGAAAUUGACUUGCUAAAACCAAAGUUAAAUGAGUUAUGGAUUGGAUUCAACACUUUAGAUGGCAAGGAAUGUGGGGUAUUGAUGAAGAUUGAAUAUUAGGGUGCCCCUAGCUAUUGUCAAUAUUGCUUCAUGCAGGGCCAUUUGAAAAGUCAGUGUAGAAAUAAAAUAAGGGAUUAGAGGAACAAAGCUCAAGUGGAAGAAAAGCAGGUAAGUGCCAAUCUCACAGAGAUGGGGGAUGAUUUUCCUCACAGAGAUGGGGGAUGAUUUUCAGAGUGUAACCAGAAGAAGGAGAACAAGAGAUAAUCCAACAAAAGCAAAACCAUAAGUAACCACUAGCAAACCACAUGUCACACAAACUAACAAACACAAUAGCAGGAAGAGUAAUGGGGUAGUUUUCAAGGAACCAAGCAUCACACAUUCAGAAAAAAGUAUAGUAGAAGUUCCAGGCAAGGGUAAAGGAAUUGAUAAAAUUCUAGAGGAGGUGAAUGAGACAUUCAGGGUUAGGGAAAUUAUGGAAAAUCAGGAGAAGAUAUCCACAAAGAAUCCAAAUAAGCAGAAAAAACAAAAGAGAAUAAACAAGGAAAGAAACAAGUCAAAUGGCAAGAACAACAAGUGUCAAAUAUACAAAAUGAGGAAGUAGAGGCAAAUACAAAUAUUUCUAGACAAGAGAUAGUGGGCAAUAAAAUAGAAAAGUUGAGGAUGGUGAAGGAAGAUCAGGAGGUAGACAAGUCAAUGAACACUAGGGAAGAGCAAGCUACAUUAGAGAAAAUAGUUUCUGAAUCACCUGAAAUGACUCUUACGGAAUUAGCAAGAUACGUGAAGGGUAGAAACACAACACCUACUACUCUUAUGGAGAAAAACAAUGUUGGAACAGGUAUAAAGCAAAAUGAUAACAAUAAGAAGACCUCAUUUGUAAAGGAGAGGCUAAGUAGACAAAGGGAGGAAGCGACCACAUCUCAUGUUAUUGAUCCUGGACAAGUGCAAAAUGCUUUCAACAAGUUAAUAUGUGGAACCAACUUGGAGACCUCACAGAAGAAACUUGAGAUUGACAAGGAGAGUCCAGGAGAACUGUCUGAAUCGUUUGAGGAUGAAGAGGAUAGUGCAAAAGAGGCCGAUUUUGAGGAUGGUGAAAGCUCAGAAGAUAGUGGUGACUAUGCUAGUGUUGACAAUGAGGAUAAGAGUGAAGGCAAUAGCGAAGAUAGUGAUGAGAAUAUGGAGUCACUUAUUUAAGCUUUUUCUCCUCAAACUAACCCAAAUGAAAACUUUGACAUGGUAGUGGAUGAAAUACUUGGCAAGGCUCAUCCGCCACCUAGAGACAGAUCAAAUCCAAAGAGAGGUACUGGUUCAAAAAGAGGAAGGGGUGGCAGGCAAUCCAACAAACACCCUGUGAGCUUAUCACAAGGUACUGAAUUACCAAAGGCAUUCACACAUACAUGCCUUGUACUCAUACUUAAGGUGGAGUGCCCACAGCAGUUUAGUGAACUCAGACCAAUAAGUCUAAGUAACUUCACCUGUAAGAUCAUCUCAAAGUUGUUGAAUCAGAGACUGGCCCCAUUGAUGCAGAAAAUGAUCUUUCCUAACCAAACAGGCUUUAUUAAAAGGGAGAUCAAUCAAUAAAAAUAUUAUGUUGACUUAUGAGAUAGUAUAUAGCAUCAGAAAGCCUAAGCAGCAUGGAAAUGUAGUACUGAAGCUUAACAUGACAAAGGCUUAUGACAGAGUUGAAUGGGACUAUCUAUGCCAAGUACUUAGACAACUUAGAUUCAAUGAACUAUGGAUAGACAGAGUAUGGAGGACCCUGUCAAAUGUAUGGUACUCAGUGAAUAUAAAUAGGGGUAGAUAUGGUUUCUUUAAGUCAACCAGAGGAAUCAAGCAGGUGGGCCCUUUAUCACCCUCAUUAUUUGUCAUAGGAGCUAAACCUCUUUCAAUAUUGAUAGUUAGUUUAGUAAAUGGUGGAUUUAUUCCUUAUGUUGUUGAUAGGAAAGAGCCUUUUAUUACUCAUUUAUACUAUGUGGAUGAUACUGUUUUGUUCUCCUCCGAUGAUCUAGAAUCUUUGAAGAUGAUGAUGGUUAAUUUGAAAA